AGUGAACGCUGGCGGUAGGCCUAACACAUGCAAGUCGAACGGCAGCACAGUAAGAGCUUGCUCUUACGGGUGGCGAGUGGCGGACGGGUGAGGAAUACAUCGGAAUCUACUUUUUCGUGGGGGAUAACGUAGGGAAACUUACGCUAAUACCGCAUACGACCUACGGGUGAAAGCAGGGGAUCUUCGGACCUUGCGCGAUUGAAUGAGCCGAUGUCGGAUUAGCUAGUUGGCGGGGUAAAGGCCCACCAAGGCGACGAUCCGUAGCUGGUCUGAGAGGAUGAUCAGCCACACUGGAACUGAGACACGGUCCAGACUCCUACGGGAGGCAGCAGUGGGGAAUAUUGGACAAUGGGCGCAAGCCUGAUCCAGCCAUACCGCGUGGGUGAAGAAGGCCUUCGGGUUGUAAAGCCCUUUUGUUGGGAAAGAAAAGCAGCAGGUUAAUACCCCGCCGUUCUGACGGUACCCGAAGAAUAAGCACCGGCUAACUUCGUG
This 492-nucleotide ribosomal RNA is filed under the name uncultured bacterium. RNAcentral describes it as "partial 16S ribosomal RNA". It matches the Rfam family "Bacterial small subunit ribosomal RNA", at positions 29 to 507 of the family's 1533-position model. The record is from RNAcentral.